Molecule: unclassified non-coding RNA, 303 nt
Filed under: Hevea brasiliensis (rubber tree)
Lineage: Eukaryota; Viridiplantae; Streptophyta; Magnoliopsida; Malpighiales; Euphorbiaceae
Source: RNAcentral
GCCAGAUUCAAGGACUUUGAAAUUUGGAUAAUUAUUUUAUUUCUAUGACAACAAAGGAUGAGAACUUAAUUAAUCAUAGUUGUAUCUAUAGGCGUGAGGUUUUGUUUUGUGAUUUAAGAGUAUCAGUUCAGUUACCAAAUGUAAUCUAUAAGGAGUCUAGAAUAUGUUAGUCAAAUUCAUUUGAGCUAGUUUUUCAAUUUGUGUCAUUAAAUGUGGUAUUUAGCUAUUAGUUUAUGUUUAGUUAUAGGUCUUAACUUAUCAAUUUAAGUUAUGAGCUGGGAGUUCUAAGAGUAUAUAAGGCCA